RNAcentral lists this non-coding RNA (94 nucleotides) under uncultured Clostridium sp. RNAcentral's name for it is "Purine riboswitch". The stretch from base 13 to 94 matches the Rfam family "Purine riboswitch aptamer", at positions 18 to 99 of the family's 102-position model. Rfam says of the family: Riboswitches are metabolite binding domains within certain messenger RNAs that serve as precision sensors for their corresponding targets. The record is from RNAcentral. Lineage: Bacteria; Bacillati; Bacillota; Clostridia; Eubacteriales; Clostridiaceae.
AAGUAAUCGUGUUUAUCGUAUAAAGUUGGAAAUAAGGUCCAACAGUUUCUACCAAAUCACCAUAAAUGAUUUGACUACGAUAUGUUUUAUAUAA